Molecule: ribosomal RNA, 254 nt
Filed under: uncultured bacterium
Lineage: Bacteria
Description: partial 16S ribosomal RNA
Rfam family: Bacterial small subunit ribosomal RNA
Source: RNAcentral
UACGUAGGGAGCGAGCGUUGUCCGGAUUCAUUGGGCGUAAAGAGCUCGUAGGCGGCUUGGCAAGUCGGGUGUGAAAACUCCAGGCUCAACCUGGAGACGCCACCCGAUACUGCCAUGGCUAGAGUCCGGUAGGGGACCACGGAAUUCCUGGUGUAGCGGUGAAAUGCGCAGAUAUCAGGAGGAACACCGGUGGCGAAGGCGGCACUCUGGGACGGUACUGACGCUGAGACGCGAAAGCGUGGGGAGCGAACAGG